UUAACCAAUCAAAACACACGGCUCUUGUUGGGCCCCCUAGCUCACUAAGCAAAACACUCGUUUCGACAAUGGACGAUUCUGAAAUGGGUAAACAGUGAUUUACGAAGUUGACAUCGUAUCUGGAUCCAUGGAAGGUGUACUUUGGAAUUAACAAGUGACAAUGUCUGCACGAGUCAAGGACGCAAGGCAGGACAGCAGCAAUGCUCGUUAUAACGUGGGAGUGAUAGGGGAAGUCGGGCAACGGCAAGUCGAGUUUCAUCAAUGCCUAUUUUGGUUUACCACCCAAGGAGGAAUACGCAGCCAAAACUGACGUGGUGGAGUGUACACCUGAGAAACACCGAUAUCACCUACCCGGAUCAGAUGUUGCCCUAUAGGAUGUACCCGGAUAUGACACCCAAAACGUCCCAUUUGGACAGGAAUAUCUGAAGAAGAUUGACUUUGCAAGUUAUGAUUUCUACGUGCAUGUAUCAUGCACGAAAAUUGAAGACACUGAACUUUGUCUUCACAACGCUAUCGCUAAGCAAGAGAAAUGUUAUUUCUACGUGAGGACGAAGAUUGACCGUGAACUUAAAAAUCAGAAAAAGGCCCACCCAAGAACAUUCAAUGCAGACAAUGAGAAAAAGGCCAUCCUGAAGAAGAUUGGAGGCUGUUUCCCUGACGUUCCCGUCUUCUUGGUCAACUGUCUGGACCCUGACAGCCAUGACUUCCCUAUCCUCAGGAGUCUUAUGUCAGAUGGUGCUUACAUGUCCCAAGCGUCUGACCGAGACACCGUCAGACGGAAGCUGUACACGACUGGUCGAGCAACGAAACCUUUCCUAGAAAGGUUCUGUGUACUGCAAUAAUGGACGUUCUGUACGCUGCUUCCACCUAGAUGUAUUGUGCACUUAAAACUAUACAUCCAAUUGCAAGGUCCC
RNAcentral lists this unclassified non-coding RNA (914 nucleotides) under Haliotis rubra (blacklip abalone). Its description in RNAcentral is "t-cell-specific guanine nucleotide triphosphate- binding protein 2-like, transcript variant X2". The record is from RNAcentral. Lineage: Eukaryota; Metazoa; Mollusca; Gastropoda; Lepetellida; Haliotidae.